GAUUGUGACUAAUAAUUGCAAUUCAUGACGGUAUCAACAGAAGAAGCACCGGCUAACUACGUGCCAGCAGCCGCGGUAAUACGUAGGGUGCGAGCGUUAAUCGGAAUUACUGGGGCGUAAAAGGGUGCGCAGGCGGUUCUGUAAGUCAGAUGUGAAAUCCCCGGGCUUAACCUGGGAACUGCGUUUGAAACUACAGAGCUAGAGUGUGGCAGAGGGGGGUGGAAUUCCAUGUGUAGCAGUGAAAUGCGUAGAGAUAUGGAAGAACAUCGAUGGCGAAGGCAGCCCCCUGGGUCAACACUGACGCUCAUGCACGAAAGCGUGGGGAGCAAACAGGAUUAGAUACCCUGGUAGUCCACGCCCUAAACUAUGUCAACUAGUUGUCGGGCCUUAUUAGGUUUGGUAACGUAGCUAACGCGUGAAGUUGACCGCCUGGGGAGUACGGUCGCAAGAUUAAAACUCAAAGGAAUUGACGGG
RNAcentral lists this ribosomal RNA (474 nucleotides) under uncultured bacterium. RNAcentral describes it as "bacterial SSU rRNA". It matches the Rfam family "Bacterial small subunit ribosomal RNA", at positions 447 to 917 of the family's 1533-position model. The record is from RNAcentral.